RNAcentral lists this ribosomal RNA (274 nucleotides) under uncultured bacterium. RNAcentral's name for it is "partial 16S ribosomal RNA". It matches the Rfam family "Bacterial small subunit ribosomal RNA", at positions 523 to 796 of the family's 1533-position model. The record is from RNAcentral.
AUACAGGGGGUGCGAGCGUUAAUCGGAAUUACUGGGCGUAAAGAGUACGUAGGCGGUUGCUUAAGUCAGAUGUGAAAGCCCCGGGCUCAACCUGGGAACUGCAUUUGAAACUGAGUGACUAGAGUUUAAGAGAGGGGAGUAGAAUUCCGGGUGUAGCGGUGAAAUGCGUAGAGAUCCGGAGGAAUACCAGUGGCGAAGGCGGCUCCCUGGCUUAAAACUGACGCUGAGGUACGAAAGCGUGGGUAGCAAACAGGAUUAGAAACCCCAGUAGUCC